RNAcentral lists this unclassified non-coding RNA (300 nucleotides) under plant metagenome. Its description in RNAcentral is "partial contains small subunit ribosomal RNA and internal transcribed spacer 1". The stretch from base 1 to 46 matches the Rfam family "Eukaryotic small subunit ribosomal RNA", at positions 1786 to 1831 of the family's 1831-position model. The record is from RNAcentral.
AAGUCGUAACAAGGUUUCCGUAGGUGAACCUGCGGAAGGAUCAUUACCGAGAUAGGGUCCUCCGGGGCCCGACCUCCAACCCUUUGUUUACCUUACCACUGUUGCCUCGGCGAGACGUUGGUCGUCCAUUAACAUAUAGUCUCUGACCGUCUGUGUCUCACGACCUUUCGGGUUGGUCGUCUGUAAUAUUAUAACGUCCGACCGUCGGCGUCUCACGACGCUUUCGCGUGCUCGUCAAUGGGCCCCACCAUAAACCCUUUGUAAACCCAGUAUUCUGAGAGUAAAUUUAAUACUUCAAAA